RNAcentral lists this ribosomal RNA (253 nucleotides) under uncultured bacterium. RNAcentral's name for it is "partial 16S ribosomal RNA". It matches the Rfam family "Bacterial small subunit ribosomal RNA", at positions 524 to 776 of the family's 1533-position model. The record is from RNAcentral.
UACGAAGGGGGCUAGCGUUGCUCGGAAUCACUGGGCGUAAAGCGCACGUAGGCGGCUUGUUAAGUCAGGGGUGAAAUCCUGGAGCUCAACUCCAGAACUGCCUUUGAUACUGGCGAGCUUGAGUCCGGGAGGGGUGAGUGGAACUGCGAGUGUAGAGGUGAAAUUCGUAGAUAUUCGCAAGAACACCAGUGGCGAAGGCGGCUCACUGGCCCGGUACUGACGCUGAGGUGCGAAAGCGUGGGGAGCAAACAGG